This 1856-nucleotide long non-coding RNA is filed under the name Schizosaccharomyces pombe (fission yeast). Lineage: Eukaryota; Fungi; Ascomycota; Schizosaccharomycetes; Schizosaccharomycetales; Schizosaccharomycetaceae. The record is from RNAcentral.
ACAAAUGCGCAGUUCGUUCGAUAUGCCAUACUUCAUCAAAAGGUAUAAACUUAUUACAAAACUUUUAAAUACUUGAACCAAUCGGAGAUAGUAAAAAUCUAAACAAAAAAAACAAACAGAAAAACUCACAUAAAUCAAUCGUAACCAAGUCGAGGUUGAGAAAACUUCCAGUGAAAUUAACUAUCAUAAGUACCGUAUUUGGCCUUUUUGAUGGCGUCCGUGAUAUCCAAUUUUUUGAUUUGACCAUUGGAAAGAUCGUAAAUCCAGCCAUGAACUUGUAAGCCACGCUUUUCCAUUGCUUCACGAACAAAGCCAACCCGGGUUACAGAAAUUGCUUGAGCACGAGUAUUAAGUUCGGCAAGUUUAAGGCGACGAAGUUGGGGAUCUUCAAUGGCGUCAAGUUCUUCACGAUUGUCUUCGAUAACAUCACGGAUGUGUCGCAACCAAUGAUCCAACAAAUUGUUUAAAUUAGGACCAAGAGCAGCAGCGACACCACCGCAUCCAUAAUGGCCACAGACAAUGAUGUGCUUAACCUUUAAUACGGUCACGGAGUACUCCAUAACAGCUAAAGCAUUAAUGUCAGAACGAGGAACGACAUUGGCAAUGUUUCGAUGAACGAAGACUUCACCUGGAAGUAAAUUCAGAAUGGUGGUCUCAGGAACACGAGAAUCUGAACAUCCGAUCCAAAGAACUUGAGGAGUUUGAAUAUCUUUGGUGGCUGUAAAAAAGGAUGGGUACUUUCUGCUAGUUUGUUGUGACCAAGUCAGAUUGCGUUCAAGCAAAUCUUUGAUUUCCCCAUUCUGGUCAAUUUUACCAGCGCCAGAAACGGGAGAAGCGGUUGAAGCUUCUCUGUCGAUUAUCUCGUCUUGAUGAUCGAUUUCCUCAAUACGACGUUUCAAUCUAUCAGGCAUUUUCUUUUUUUUAUCACUUUUCUCUAACAAUUGACUAGACGAAAAAAACAAUCUUUUUCUUCCAAGCGAUGAAAAAGAUAUGGAUUGUAAACAACUAUUAUAAUUACAAGGAAAACGAAUGAAUCUCGAUGUUAACCGCGGAGCCGCUAUUAUCGAGUAGCUGCUACUUUUUAUUUGGUUAAAGGUAGACUGGAGUAUGGUUUUUGGAAGCGGAAUUUUUGUAGUUGUCAAAGCACCGAAUGGUGGGAGCAUGAUACGUUUUUAUACCACACGACAAAAAUGGAAACGUUUGUGAUGUGAGCAAAGCUAUGAUGAUGAACUUUGAUGUAUAGCUAAUACUCCGAUAACAAGCCGUCCCGUCCGUCGAGUAGGUAAGGUUUAUUGGUUUAUCUAUUAUAUAAUGUAAUUUAUUUUGCUAGAUCUUUGCAAGGGACUACCUACGGAUAGUUUUGACGGCUUCGCAGUUAACAAAAAACCGGAUACGAUUGGCUUAAAAUUGCAAAUUGUCCCAAAUAUGAAUAAAAUGUUGACAGCCAUAAAGAUUUCGCAACCGUGCGAAAUUUUUUUUUUCUAAACACAAAAUUAUUGGAGAAGAAUCCGUCAUUUAUCAAUUACGAGUAUAUCGUCUUAUCGUUAUACGUGUUUUCGAUUAAGUUAAUCUAAAAUUAAAUUAAGCGAUAAUUAGGUUUUGUAGAUUGAAACAUUUGUUAACAUGGGCACCGCUGACAUUACUAUAAAAAAAGACGAAAAAAAAACAAUUGCCCAUUGUUACCCAUAAUAGGAGGAAUGAAAUGAAAGUAAAGACAAUUGAGAAAAUUUAUUCAAUAGCUUAUACAGCUAUUUCAAGUCUCGGCCAGUAAGUUAAGCACUUGAAGUUAUAUUUAAACCGUCAGUUUACCAAACAUUAAUAUGUUUGUUUCAAUUCCCAUUGAUAAACUCAAAUAC